RNAcentral lists this RNase P RNA (372 nucleotides) under Gemmatimonadota bacterium. RNAcentral's name for it is "Gemmatimonadetes bacterium RNase P RNA component class A". It matches the Rfam family "Bacterial RNase P class A". From Rfam's summary of the family: Ribonuclease P (RNase P) is a ubiquitous endoribonuclease, found in archaea, bacteria and eukarya as well as chloroplasts and mitochondria. Lineage: Bacteria; Pseudomonadati; Gemmatimonadota. The record is from RNAcentral.
CGGGUCGGGCGCGAUGGUCGCGGGGGGGCGCGAGCUCCUUCGAGGAAAGUCCGAGCUCCGAGGGUAGACUGCCAGGUAACGCCUGGGCGCCGAGAGGCGACGGAAAGGGCCACAGAAAACAGACCGCCCCGAGGCGGCCGCGAGGCCGGCGAAGGGUAAGGGUGAAACGGUGGGGUAAGAGCCCACCGCGCUCCUGGCAACAGCGAGCGGCACGGCAACCCCCAGUCGGAGCAAGGCCAAAUAGGCGGCGAGGUGCGACCCGCACCGACCAAUCCGGCGGAGCCGAAAGGCGCCCCGGAAGCCGCGGGUAGGCUGCUCGAGGUGGCCGGCGACGGCCAUAAACAGAACUCGGCUUACGGCCUGACCCGUGCC